This 467-nucleotide ribosomal RNA is filed under the name uncultured bacterium. RNAcentral describes it as "partial 16S ribosomal RNA". It matches the Rfam family "Bacterial small subunit ribosomal RNA", at positions 29 to 507 of the family's 1533-position model. The record is from RNAcentral.
ACGAACGCUGGCGGCGUGCUUAACACAUGCCAGUCGAACGGAAAGGCCCUGCUUUUGUGGGGUGCUCGAGUGGCGAACGGGGGAGUAACACGUGAGUAACCUGCCCUUGACUUUGGGAUAACAUCAGGAAACUGGGGCUGAUACCGGAUAGGAGCUCCUGCUGCAUGGUGGGGGAUGGAAAGUUUCGGCGGUUGGGGAUGGACUCGCGGCUUAUCAGCUUGUUGGUGGGGUAGGGGCUUACAAAGGCUUUGACGGGUAGCCGGCCUGAGAGGGCGACCGGCCACAUUGGGACUGAGAUACGGCCCAGACUCCUACGGGAGGCAGCAGUGGGGAAUAUUGCACAAUGGGCGGAAGCCUGAUGCAGCAACGCCGCGUGCGGGAUGACGGCCUUCGGGUUGUAAACCGCUUUCGCCUGUGACGAAGCGUGAGUGACGGUAAUGGGUAAAGAAGCACCGGCUAACUACGUG